RNAcentral lists this ribosomal RNA (468 nucleotides) under uncultured bacterium. RNAcentral describes it as "partial 16S ribosomal RNA". It matches the Rfam family "Bacterial small subunit ribosomal RNA", at positions 28 to 507 of the family's 1533-position model. The record is from RNAcentral.
GACGAACACUGGCGGCGUGCUUAACACAUGCAAGUCGAACGGAAAGGCCCUGCUUUUGUGGGAUGCUCGAGUAGCGAACGGGUGAGUAACACGUGAGUCACCUGCCCUUGACUUAGGGAUAACUUCAGGCAACUGGGGCUACUACCGGAUAGGAGCUCCUGCUGCAUGGUGGGGGUUGGAAAGUUUCGGCGGUUGGGGAUGGACUCGCGGCCUAUCAGCUUGUUGGUGGGGUAGUGGCUUACCAAGGCUUUGACGGGUAGCCGGCCUGAGAGGGUGACCGGCCACAUUGGGACUGAGAUACGGCCCAGACUCCUACGGGAGGCAGCAGUGGGGAAUAUUGCACAAUGGGCGGAAGCCUGAUGCAGCAACGCCGCGUGCGGGAUGACGGCCUUCGGGUUGUAAACCGCUUUCGCCUGUGACGAAGCGUGAGUGACGGUAAUGGGUAAAGAAGCACCGGCUAACUACGUG